This 253-nucleotide ribosomal RNA is filed under the name uncultured bacterium. Its description in RNAcentral is "partial 16S ribosomal RNA". It matches the Rfam family "Bacterial small subunit ribosomal RNA", at positions 524 to 776 of the family's 1533-position model. The record is from RNAcentral.
UACGGAGGAUGCAAGCGUUAUCCGGAAUGAUUGGGCGUAAAGCGUCCGCAGGUGGCAAUGUAAGUCUGCUGUCAAAGCGUCUGGCUCAACCAGAUAAAGGCAGUGGAAACUACAUAGCUAGAGUAAGGUAGGGGUAGAGGGAAUUCCUGGUGUAGCGGUGAAAUGCGCAGAUAUCAGGAAGAACACCCGUGGCGAAGGCGGCUCUCUGGGACGGUACUGACGCUGAGACGCGAAAGCGUGGGGAGCGAACAGG